GGUCUGUUGGUCUAGUGGUAUGAUUCUUGCUUAGGGAAAACCCUAUUCACUCAUUGCAAGAGGUCCCGUGUUCGAUCCACGGACAGACCC
This is a non-coding RNA of Coniella lustricola, 90 nucleotides long. The record is from the annotation of a GenBank genome assembly. Lineage: Eukaryota; Fungi; Ascomycota; Sordariomycetes; Diaporthales; Schizoparmaceae.